AUUGAACGCUGGCGGCAUGCCUUACACAUGCAAGUCGAACGGCAGCACGGGAGCAAUCCUGGUGGCGAGUGGCGAACGGGUGAGUAAUAUAUCGGAACGUGCCCAGUCGUGGGGGAUAACGUAGCGAAAGCUACGCUAAUACCGCAUACGAUCUAUGGAUGAAAGCGGGGGGAUCGCAAGACCUCGCGCGAUUGGAGCGGCCGAUAUCAGAUUAGGUAGUUGGUGGGGUAAAAGCCUACCAAGCCUUCGAUCUGUAGCUGGUCUGAGAGGACGACCAGCCACACUGGAACUGAGACACGGUCCAGACUCCUACGGGAGGCAGCAGUGGGGAAUUUUGGACAAUGGGCGCAAGCCUGAUCCAGCCAUGCCGCGUGAGUGAAGAAGGCC
This 387-nucleotide ribosomal RNA is filed under the name uncultured bacterium. RNAcentral describes it as "bacterial SSU rRNA". It matches the Rfam family "Bacterial small subunit ribosomal RNA", at positions 30 to 416 of the family's 1533-position model. The record is from RNAcentral.